RNAcentral lists this non-coding RNA (205 nucleotides) under Martinezella lusitana. Lineage: Bacteria; Pseudomonadati; Pseudomonadota; Alphaproteobacteria; Hyphomicrobiales; Rhizobiaceae. The record is from RNAcentral.
UGAUGUCAUCAAUCUCAAGGUGCCGUCUGCUAGGGAGGCGGAGAAUUGGGAAGCCGGUCAAAAUCCGGCGCUGCCCCCGCAACGGUGGUGGAGUAAGGCAUGGCGGAUAAAGCCACUGGGUCGGGUCGACCUGGGAAGGUGCCAUGGGGUCCUGGCGACAGGGCCGCUCCAGAGCCCGGAAACCAGCCUUGGGCACAUAUGGUUU